RNAcentral lists this non-coding RNA (23 nucleotides) under Cricetulus griseus (Chinese hamster). Lineage: Eukaryota; Metazoa; Chordata; Mammalia; Rodentia; Cricetidae. The record is from RNAcentral.
AUUAAAAUAAAAAGUUGAACUGC